AUUGAACGCUGGCGGCAUGCCUUACACAUGCAAGUCGAACGGCAGCACGGGGGCAACCCUGGUGGCGAGUGGCGAACGGGUGAGUAAUGCAUCGGAACGUGCCCAGUAGUGGGGGAUAACCCGGCGAAAGCCGGGCUAAUACCGCAUACGACCUGCGGGUGAAAGCGGGGGACUUGGUGGCAACACCGGGCCUCGCGCUAUUGGAGCGGCCGAUGUCUGAUUAGCUAGUUGGCGGGGUAAAGGCCCACCAAGGCGACGAUCAGUAGCUGGUCUGAGAGGACGACCAGCCACACUGGGACUGAGACACGGCCCAGACUCCUACGGGAGGCAGCAGUGGGGAAUUUUGGACAAUGGGCGCAAGCCUGAUCCAGCCAUGCCGCGUGCGGGAAGAAGGCCUUCGGGUUGUAAACCGCUUUUGGCAGGAACGAAACGGCGCAAGCCAAUACCUUGCGCUAAUGACGGUACCUGCAGAAUAAGCACCGGCUAACUACGUGCCAGCAGCCGCCGUAACAC
RNAcentral lists this ribosomal RNA (513 nucleotides) under uncultured bacterium. RNAcentral's name for it is "bacterial SSU rRNA". It matches the Rfam family "Bacterial small subunit ribosomal RNA", at positions 29 to 526 of the family's 1533-position model. The record is from RNAcentral.